RNAcentral lists this ribosomal RNA (626 nucleotides) under uncultured Acinetobacter sp. RNAcentral's name for it is "bacterial SSU rRNA". It matches the Rfam family "Bacterial small subunit ribosomal RNA", at positions 56 to 678 of the family's 1533-position model. The record is from RNAcentral. Lineage: Bacteria; Pseudomonadati; Pseudomonadota; Gammaproteobacteria; Moraxellales; Moraxellaceae.
UGCAAGUCGAGCGGAGAUGAGGUGCUUGCACCUUAUCUUAGCGGCGGACGGGUGAGUAAGCUUAGGAAUCUGCCUAUUAGUGGGGGACAACAUUCCGAAAGGAAUGCUAAUACCGCAUACGUCCUACGGGAGAAAGCAGGGGAUCUUCGGACCUUGCGCUAAUAGAUGAGCCUACGUCGGAUUAGCUAGCUGGUGGGGUAAAGGCCUACCAAGGCGACGAUCUGUAGCGGGUCUGAGAGGAUGAUCCGCCACACUGGGACUGAGACACGGCCCAGACUCCUACGGGAGGCAGCAGUGGGGAAUAUUGGACAAUGGGGGGAACCCUGAUCCAGCCAUGCCGCGUGUGUGAAGAAGGCCUUAUGGUUGUAAAGCACUUUAAGCGAGGAGGAGGCUACUGAGACUAAUACUCUUGGAUAGUGGACGUUACUCGCAGAAUAAGCACCGGCUAACUCUGUGCCAGCAGCCGCGGUAAUACAGAGGGUGCGAGCGUUAAUCGGAUUUACUGGGCGUAAAGCGUGCGUAGGCGGCUUUUUAAGUCGGAUGUGAAAUCCCCGAGCUUAACUUGGGAAUUGCAUUCGAUACUGGGAAGCUAGAGUAUGGGAGAGGAUGGUAGAAUUCGGGUGUAG